AGAGUGCCUAUUAUUAAAUGUAAUGCAGUCACUUGAGCUUUUGAAUCUGAAAUUUCUUCUUCAUAAAGAAUGUAUGCUUGGGUAAAAAAUUCGUAAGCAACAGGUUCUAAAUCACAAUCAUUUGCAGCCUCAGCACAUUGUAGAUACAACCGAAAUGCCAAUUCUGGGGCUGGAACACUGGAAAGGAUCUCAAUGGUCUGAGUUAAUAGCUGAAAAAUUUUCUUCGGG
RNAcentral lists this unclassified non-coding RNA (228 nucleotides) under Hevea brasiliensis (rubber tree). The record is from RNAcentral. Lineage: Eukaryota; Viridiplantae; Streptophyta; Magnoliopsida; Malpighiales; Euphorbiaceae.